Molecule: long non-coding RNA, 362 nt
Filed under: Mytilus galloprovincialis (Mediterranean mussel)
Lineage: Eukaryota; Metazoa; Mollusca; Bivalvia; Mytilida; Mytilidae
Source: RNAcentral
AUAUCAGCCGCUAGCCACAAUGUGAACCUUUUUGGCGAGUGAGCGCAGCGAACAAGCUAAAAAGUUUCACAUUGUGUCGAGCGGUUGAUAUUUUACGAUAUCUAUACGAAGAAAACCCGAUUAUCUUUUUAUCGUUCUAUUACUGGUCGUUUCUUACUCCCUAAGACAGUUUUACGCUUGACAAAAGCAAGCUUGAUAACGUCUCCUCUCGCAUUGUGACGUCGCUGAUAACUUCUCCUCUCACAUUGUGACGUCGCUGAUAAUGCCUGGUCUCGUUUUGAAGUCUUGAUACGAGAAUUACGGAGCAACAGAGCAGGGUGAUAUAGGCGGAGGGAAGGACGAUAAAUUUGUAUAUCUGCGCA